GACGAACGCUGGCGGCGAUGCUUAACACAUGCAAGUCGAACGGAAAGGCCCUGCUUUUGUGGGGUGCUCGAGUGGCGAACGGGUGAGUAACACGUGAGUAACCUGCCCUUGACUUUGGGAUAACUUCAGGAAACUGGGGCUAAUACCGGAUAGGAGCUCCUGCUGCAUGGUGGGGGUUGGAAAGUUUCGGCGGUUGGGGAUGGACUCGCGGCUUAUCAGCUUGUUGGUGGGGUAGUGGCUUACCAAGGCUUUGACGGGUAGCCGGCCUGAGAGGGUGACCGGCCACAUUGGGACUGAGAUACGGCCCAGACUCCUACGGGAGGCAGCAGUGGGGAAUAUUGCACAAUGGGCGGAAGCCUGAUGCAGCAACGCCGCGUGCGGGAUGACGGCCUUCGGGUUGUAAACCGCUUUCGCCUGUGACGAAGCGUGAGUGACGGUAAUGGGUAAAGAAGCACCGGCUAACUACGUGCCAGCAGCCGCGGUGAUACGUAGGGUGCGAGCGUUGUCCGGAUUUAUUGGGCGUAAAGGGCUCGUAGGUGGUUGAUCGCGUCGGAAGUGUAAUCUUGGGGCUUAACCCUGAGCGUGCUUUCGAUACGGGUUGACUUGAGGAAGGUAGGGGAGAAUGGAAUUCCUGGUGGAGCGGUGGAAUGCGCAGAUAUCAGGAGGAACACCAGUGGCGAAGGCGGUUCUCUGGGCCUUUCCUGACGCUGAGGAGCGAAAGCGUGGGGAGCGAACAGGCUUAGAUACCCUGGUAGUCCACGCUGUAAACGGUGGGUACUAGGUGUGGGGUCCAUUCCACGGGUUCCGUGCCGUAGCUAACGCUUUAAGUACCCCGCCUGGGGAGUACGGCCGCAAGGCUAAAACUCAAAGGAAUUGACGGGGCCCCGCACAAGCGGCGGAGCAUGCGGAUUAAUUCGAUGCAACGCGUAGAACCUUACCUGGGUUUGACAUGGAUCGGGAGUGCUCAGAGAUGGGUGUGCCUCUUUUGGGGUCGGUUCACAGGUGGUGCAUGGCUGUCGUCAGCUCGUGUCGUGAGAUGUUGGGUUAAGUCCCGCAACGAGCGCAACCCUUGUUCACUGUUGCCAGCACGUUAUGGUGGGGACUCAGUGGAGACCGCCGGGGUCAACUCGGAGGAAGGUGGGGAUGACGUCAAGUCAUCAUGCCCCUUAUGUCCAGGGCUUCACGCAUGCUACAAUGGCUGGUACAGAGAGUGGCGAGCCUGUGAGGGUGAGCGAAUCUCGGAAAGUCGGUCUCAGUUCGGAUUGGGGUCUGCAACUCGACCUCAUGAAGUCGGAGUCGCUAGUAAUCGCAGAUCAGCAACGCUGCGGUGAAUACGUUCCCGGGGCU
This 1347-nucleotide ribosomal RNA is filed under the name uncultured bacterium. RNAcentral's name for it is "partial 16S ribosomal RNA". It matches the Rfam family "Bacterial small subunit ribosomal RNA", at positions 28 to 1381 of the family's 1533-position model. The record is from RNAcentral.